Molecule: ribosomal RNA, 835 nt
Filed under: uncultured bacterium
Lineage: Bacteria
Description: bacterial SSU rRNA
Rfam family: Bacterial small subunit ribosomal RNA
Source: RNAcentral
CCUGGCGGCGAGUGGCGAACGGGUGAGUAAUAUAUCGGAACGUACCCUGGAGUGGGGGAUAACGUAGCGAAAGUUACGCUAAUACCGCAUACGAUCUAAGGAUGAAAGUGGGGGCUUCGCAAGAACCUCAUGCUCCUGGAGCGGCCGAUAUCUGAUUAGCUAGUUGGUGGGGUAAAGGCCCACCAAGGCUUCGAUCAGUAGCUGGUCUGAGAGGACGACCAGCCACACUGGAACUGAGACACGGUCCAGACUCCUACGGGAGGCAGCAGUGGGGAAUUUUGGACAAUGGGCGCAAGCCUGAUCCAGCAAUGCCGCGUGAGUGAAGAAGGCCUUCGGGUUGUAAAGCUCUUUUGUCAGGGAAGAAACGGUGAGGGCUAAUAUCCCUUGCUAAUGACGGUACCUGAAGAAUAAGCACCGGCUAACUACGUGCCAGCAGCCGCGGUAAUACGUAGGGUGCAAGCGUUAAUCGGAAUUACUGGGCGUAAAGCGUGCGCAGGCGGUUUUGUAAGUUUGUCGUGAAAGCCCCGGGCUCAACCUGGGAAUUGCGAUGAAGACUGCAAGGCUUGAAUCUGGCAGAGGGGGGUAGAAUUCCACGUGUAGCAGUGAAAUGCGUAGAGAUGUGGAGGAACACCGAUGGCGAAGGCAGCCCCCUGGGUCAAGAUUGACGCUCAUGCACGAAAGCGUGGGGAGCAAACAGGAUUAGAUACCCUGGUAGUCCACGCCCUAAACGAUGUCUACUAGUUGUCGGGUUUUAAUUAACUUGGUAACGCAGCUAACGCGUGAAGUAGACCGCCUGGGGAGUACGGUCGCAAGAUUAAAACUCAAAGGAAUUGAC